UGUCGUGUCCCCGUUAGUGGGGAGCGAGAACCCCGGCUGGAGGUCCGCCGGGGCCCUGCGGAGGACGGGGAGGUGCAGGCGAACGGCUUUCUUGAGGAGCCUCACCGCGAGCCGCUGACGGUGGCGGCGGAGGUGUGCUGCGCGGCCGGCCGUGUGGCUGAGGCAGGUGCGUGGCUAAAGUACUGAUGUAAUCUAGAGACAUUUGGCUGGCAGAUAGUAGAGUUGAAGCAGCCCCUACAUUACUCCAUCCUGCGCUCGGACAUGGUCAACCACAGAAUGUGAGAAUUAACAACGGCUUCCUUACAGUGCAUCAGCUACAUUUGGUGGAAGUGCGGAGGUUUCAACUGGACAGAACUCUCUCUCAAACUCCACAUAACCAGGCAGAGGAGAGAAGCGCUAUUAGGUUUCCACUAAAAUAAAGGCGUGUUAUGAGCUAACUCCUUAUUAUAUACUAAAAAAUACAUGUCAGAUAAAUCUAAAGACAAACUCGUGAGGGACCAGAGUUCAUUAAUUCCACUGUUUAAUGAACUACUCCUUUCGAGUUGCAUCAUAAAACUCAUGAAUACUCCUUUCAGCCUUCAAUUUAGCUGAAAAGUUGAAACCAAUUACCACCGAACUAACCAAACAUGUGGGCAGCUAAACGUCAGCUAGAUCUAAUCUUAAAUCCCCGUGAGCAAACAUCCUGCCCAAACGCUGCUGUUAUUAAGAAAAAUGCCAACUGCA
Molecule: long non-coding RNA, 723 nt
Organism: Chroicocephalus ridibundus (black-headed gull)
Lineage: Eukaryota; Metazoa; Chordata; Aves; Charadriiformes; Laridae
Exons: 3
Source: RefSeq, a predicted model, not a curated record